This 492-nucleotide ribosomal RNA is filed under the name uncultured bacterium. Its description in RNAcentral is "partial 16S ribosomal RNA". It matches the Rfam family "Bacterial small subunit ribosomal RNA", at positions 29 to 507 of the family's 1533-position model. The record is from RNAcentral.
AGUGAACGCUGGCGGUAGGCCUAACACAUGCAAGUCGAACGGCAGCACAGUAAGAUCUUGCUCUUACGGGUGGCGAGUGGCGGACGGGUGAGGAAUACAUCGGAAUCUACUUUUUCGUGGGGGAUAACGUAGGGAAACUUACGCUAAUACCGCAUACGACCUACGGGUGAAAGCAGGGGAUCUUCGGACCUUGCGCGAUUGAAUGAGCCGAUGUCGGAUUAGCUAGUUGGCGGGGUAAAGGCCCACCAAGGCGACGAUCCGUAGCUGGUCUGAGAGGAUGAUCAGCCACACUGGAACUGGGACACGGUCCAGACUCCUACGGGAGGCAGCAGUGGGGAAUAUUGGGCAAUGGGCGCAAGCCUGGUCCAGCCAUACCGCGUGGGUGAAGAAGGCCUUCGGGUUGUAAAGCCCUUUUGUUGGGAAAGAAAAGCAGCAGGUUAAUACCCCGCUGUUCUGACGGUACCCAAAGAAUAAGCACCGGCUAACUUCGUG